This 552-nucleotide ribosomal RNA is filed under the name Bacillus altitudinis. RNAcentral's name for it is "bacterial SSU rRNA". It matches the Rfam family "Bacterial small subunit ribosomal RNA", at positions 396 to 935 of the family's 1533-position model. Lineage: Bacteria; Bacillati; Bacillota; Bacilli; Caryophanales; Bacillaceae. The record is from RNAcentral.
GCCGCGUGAGUGAUGAAGGUUUUCGGAUCGUAAAGCUCUGUUGUUAGGGAAGAACAAGUGCAAGAGUAACUGCUUGCACCUUGACGGUACCUAACCAGAAAGCCACGGCUAACUACGUGCCAGCAGCCGCGGUAAUACGUAGGUGGCAAGCGUUGUCCGGAAUUAUUGGGCGUAAAGGGCUCGCAGGCGGUUUCUUAAGUCUGAUGUGAAAGCCCCCGGCUCAACCGGGGAGGGUCAUUGGAAACUGGGAAACUUGAGUGCAGAAGAGGAGAGUGGAAUUCCACGUGUAGCGGUGAAAUGCGUAGAGAUGUGGAGGAACACCAGUGGCGAAGGCGACUCUCUGGUCUGUAACUGACGCUGAGGAGCGAAAGCGUGGGGAGCGAACAGGAUUAGAUACCCUGGUAGUCCACGCCGUAAACGAUGAGUGCUAAGUGUUAGGGGGUUUCCGCCCCUUAGUGCUGCAGCUAACGCAUUAAGCACUCCGCCUGGGGGAGUACGGUCGCAAGACUGAAACUCAAAGGAAUUUGACGGGGGGCCCGCNACAAGCGGUGG